UGAAGGUACAGCCACACCCAGCCCGUUGCUGGCCCCACCCAGCAUCUUCCUUGCCUCAGAUGCCCCUGUAGGGCAUCCCCGAUCUGCUCCAGCCCCAUCCUCUAAUGGGGAGAGGGCCAGGGCUGGCCUCUUUUUUGAAGUCUGCAGUCUGGGGUGGAGAAGGCAGUAACAUAGCUCCUAUCUGGCAGUGUGGUGGGACCAGCCCUCACCUUCCGCAUCCGGCACAAUGAGCAGAACCUGUCUUUGGCUGAUGUGACCCAACAAGCAGGGCUGGUGAAGUCUGAACUGGAAGCACAGACAGGGCUCCAAAUCUUGCAGACGGGAGUGGGACAGAGGGAGGAGGCAGCUGCAGUCCUUCCCCGAACUGCACACAGCACCUCUCCCACGCGCUCAGUGCUGCUCACUCUGGUGGCCCUGGCAGGUGUGGCUGGGCUGCUGGUGGCUCUGGCUGUGGCUCUGUGUGUGCGGCAGCAUGCGCGGCAGCGGGACAAGGAGCGCCUGGCAGCCCUGGGGCCCGAGGGGGCCCAUGGUGACACUACCUUUGAGUACCAGGACCUGUGCCG
RNAcentral lists this small RNA (563 nucleotides) under Pongo abelii (Sumatran orangutan). Its description in RNAcentral is "retained intron". The record is from RNAcentral. Lineage: Eukaryota; Metazoa; Chordata; Mammalia; Primates; Hominidae.